Molecule: ribosomal RNA, 301 nt
Filed under: uncultured bacterium
Lineage: Bacteria
Description: partial 16S ribosomal RNA
Rfam family: Bacterial small subunit ribosomal RNA
Source: RNAcentral
CAGUAGCCGCGGGAAUACAGAGGGUGCAAGCGUUAAUCGGAAUUACUGGGCGUAAAGCGCGCGUAGGUGGUAUGUUAAGUUGGAUGUGAAAGCCCCGGGCUCAACCUGGGAACUGCAUCCAAAACUGGCAAGCUAGAGUACGGUAGAGGGUGGUGGAAUUUCCUGUGUAGCGGUGAAAUGCGUAGAUAUAGGAAGGAACACCAGUGGCGAAGGCGACCACCUGGACUGAUACUGACACUGAGGUGCGAAAGCGUGGGGAGCAAACAGGAUUAGAUACCCCAGUAGUCCCUGUCUCUUAUAC